GAACAACAGUCGACAUGUUCCCCAAAAGAGUAAUUCAAAUUCGCGACAACCAAUCAACGGUACAAGAUGUUAUUCUCAUGAAUGAACGGUAAAACAUUUACUUUUGUCGCACAUUUACUAUUGCCAGCCCCAAAAUAUCUUUUAGUUAUUACAUAUUAAAUAUAAUUUGAAACCUUCCAGGUUUGAAACAUGCAUGCUUCAAAUGUGGGACAAUUUCGUCACAAAUGAAUGUAAUAUCAUCCACAACACAAUCACCAAAAAACCAAUUGUUGUGAGCAACAGAUUAAGAGUAAUUUCUUUCAAUGGUAAAUUGACUCCUUGUACACAAUCACACUGACAUGUUUCAAAACUCUACAUGCAAAAACUCAAUUCACUCUCUAUUUAGGUAUAUCCGUCUCUACAAAAAUCAACUCAUCAAUACUCAUUAAUCCCCCAUUUGAGCAAGUUCUUGAACUAAAGCACUAGUACAUUCUUUCACCUUUCCACUUACAUACUUACAUCUAUUGUAAUUAUUACUCUUAAUUUUCUUAUUUACUUUUAACAAUUUCAUUUUCACAUCAACAUCAGGUUAGAGGACAACAUGAGCACAAUAAAUGACAUCGUGACAAGAAAGGCGUAUAUCUUCCCCACAUCCACCACAAUUUCUUGCCCACCAGAGGAAAAGUUAGUCAAUAUCAAAUAGCUUCAACAAUUCCAACAUAUGGUACACCAAAUCACCACACCUUCUCACUUACAUUUUACAUCUAUCCCCAACUUAUAUUUUUCUUAAACACGUUAUUAUACACAUUACAUCAACGACACUUCUGGACAAGAACAAAUGUCACAUUGGCUGAAAUUAACCAACCACUAUGGUGUCUAUCAUAUGACAAUUGCAACAAAUUUGCAAGUGCAGCUGUGAACGAAACUUAUUUUUGUAGAUUCUGCAAGCACAACUAUGCUACACCGACUCCAAGGUCAGAUUAUAUUCAAGUCACAAGUACAUCGUCUAUGUGAAUAGAUGCAUUAUUCAUCAUCUAAUGAUAAUCAAAUACAUCUCAAAACUCUAACAAUGAUUCCACUUGUACUCUAAUAGAGCAAGAGCAGUCGUUCAAUUACAGGACUCCAUAGGAUCAAUCACAGCAUCAAUUAUUGGAAAACCAGCUGAAACAUUCCUCAAAUGCCCAGCAACAGAAUUGAUGAAACAAGAUUCUGAGAUAACUAUCUCAAUUACAUUUUCCUGCCUACUAAUCUUUUCCUUCCAAUGAAUAUACUAAUAACCACUUCUAAUGAACAUCACAGCAAAAACAUAUGGAAAGCAGCUAUACAAUACCACCAACAACUGCAAAUGAGCACAUCGUAUACAUCAAAGCUGUAAAUAUAGAGACAACCACCAACAAGACACCAUAUGAAGUCAUCUUCAUCCUUGACUCACACCUCCAAGAUGACGACCAAUUGCUCACCAACAUCAUACAACCAGGCACUUCACAUGAAGCUCACAACCAUGCAAACAAAAAACAAAAGCAAGAGUAGUUGUUCAACACCUAAAAAUACAUAUUUUGUAUUUCUUUUGCACGCUUGUGUCCAGAGUCAAGCAAACCCGAUUCCCAGUAUUUCUAUUUGCCAUACUAAAUUUUGUUCGUUGUCCAUAUUAACAUGUUAGAAACCAUGUACCCAUGUAUGGCACGCAACAUCUCUGUGUAUGGCACCUAAGAACUCUGUUUUGUACUUUAUAUUACUUUUGCCAAUGUAACUACUUGUGGACAAAUAUUUUAUAUAAUCUAAUGUAAUCAUCC
This 1772-nucleotide long non-coding RNA is filed under the name Olea europaea subsp. europaea. Lineage: Eukaryota; Viridiplantae; Streptophyta; Magnoliopsida; Lamiales; Oleaceae. The record is from RNAcentral.